Molecule: ribosomal RNA, 200 nt
Filed under: uncultured bacterium
Lineage: Bacteria
Description: partial 16S ribosomal RNA
Rfam family: Bacterial small subunit ribosomal RNA
Source: RNAcentral
AGAGUUUGAUCCUGGCUCAGGAUGAACGCUGGCGGCGUGCCUAAUACAUGCAAGUCGAACGCAUCGCAAGAUGAGUGGCGACCGGGUGCGUAACACGUAGCUGACCUGCCCCUCAGCGGGGGACAACUUCUGGAAACGGAAGCUAAUACCGCAUAGAUUUGAGAGGACCAAAGACUUUCAAAUAAACUUCCGGGGCUGAG